GCCGCUCUCCACGCUAGGGGCGGACUGGCAGCCUCUCUGUUACCAGCAGCAGACACCGUCUCCGGGAACUGAGAAGUCGGGGUACUAGAUAGCAUAUUAAUGGUUGUUCAAACGCAGGAAUGUCUCUCUGCCCAGAAAUGAUGAAUCUAUGCUAGAAAGCCCUAUCCAGGAUCCGGAUAUCAGUUCUACUGUACCCAUUUCAGAGGAAGAAGUUAUUACAACAGAUAUGGUCCAGAUGAUUUUUUCUGAUAAUGCUGAUCAGCAGCUAACAGCAACACAGAAAUUUCGAAAGCUACUCUCUAAAGGCAAGAAUUAUUUUCAGUAUGCUUACUUGAUAUUAAAAGAUUUUGUAAUAGUUUUAUUUUAUUUUAUUUUUUAUUUCAAGACACUUUUCUUUGCCAGACAAAAUAAGUCUUAGUUUUUUUACAAAUACAUGUUUCAAAUAACAUCUGUUUUUUAAACAUUUUAUUAUUAAAGUAACACGUGGAUUUUAGAACAAUUGCAAAACAUAA
Molecule: long non-coding RNA, 512 nt
Organism: Trichechus manatus latirostris (Florida manatee)
Lineage: Eukaryota; Metazoa; Chordata; Mammalia; Sirenia; Trichechidae
Exons: 3
Source: RefSeq, a predicted model, not a curated record